CCUACGGGAGGCUGCAGUGAGGAAUCUUCCACAAUGGGCGAAAGCCUGAUGGAGCAACGCCGCGUGAAGGAUGAAGGCCUUCGGGUUGUAAACUUCUUUUAUGAGUGAAGAAUAUGACGGUAACUCAUGAAUAAGCACCGGCUAACUACGUGCCAGCAGCCGCGGUCAUACGUAGGGUGCAAGCAUUAUCCGGAGUGACUGGGCGUAAAGAGUUGCGUAGGCGGUUUAAUAAGUGAAUAGUGAAACCUGGUGGCUCAACCAUACAGACUAUUAUUCAAACUGUUAAACUCGAGAGUGGUAGAGGUAACUGGAAUUUCUAGUGUAGGAGUGAAAUCCGUAGAUAUUAGAAGGAACACCAAUGGCGUAGGCAGGUUACUGGACCAUUUCUGACGCUAAGGCACGAAAGCGUGGGGAGCGAACUGGAUUAGAUACCCUGGUAGUC
This 442-nucleotide ribosomal RNA is filed under the name uncultured bacterium. Its description in RNAcentral is "bacterial SSU rRNA". It matches the Rfam family "Bacterial small subunit ribosomal RNA", at positions 338 to 795 of the family's 1533-position model. The record is from RNAcentral.